RNAcentral lists this ribosomal RNA (1414 nucleotides) under Salmonella enterica subsp. enterica serovar Schwarzengrund. RNAcentral's name for it is "bacterial SSU rRNA". It matches the Rfam family "Bacterial small subunit ribosomal RNA". Lineage: Bacteria; Pseudomonadati; Pseudomonadota; Gammaproteobacteria; Enterobacterales; Enterobacteriaceae. The record is from RNAcentral.
GGAGGGGGAUAACUACUGGAAACGGUGGCUAAUACCGCAUAACGUCGCAAGACCAAAGAGGGGGACCUUCGGGCCUCUUGCCAUCAGAUGUGCCCAGAUGGGAUUAGCUUGUUGGUGAGGUAACGGCUCACCAAGGCGACGAUCCCUAGCUGGUCUGAGAGGAUGACCAGCCACACUGGAACUGAGACACGGUCCAGACUCCUACGGGAGGCAGCAGUGGGGAAUAUUGCACAAUGGGCGCAAGCCUGAUGCAGCCAUGCCGCGUGUAUGAAGAAGGCCUUCGGGUUGUAAAGUACUUUCAGCGGGGAGGAAGGUGUUGUGGUUAAUAACCGCAGCAAUUGACGUUACCCGCAGAAGAAGCACCGGCUAACUCCGUGCCAGCAGCCGCGGUAAUACGGAGGGUGCAAGCGUUAAUCGGAAUUACUGGGCGUAAAGCGCACGCAGGCGGUCUGUCAAGUCGGAUGUGAAAUCCCCGGGCUCAACCUGGGAACUGCAUUCGAAACUGGCAGGCUUGAGUCUUGUAGAGGGGGGUAGAAUUCCAGGUGUAGCGGUGAAAUGCGUAGAGAUCUGGAGGAAUACCGGUGGCGAAGGCGGCCCCCUGGACAAAGACUGACGCUCAGGUGCGAAAGCGUGGGGAGCAAACAGGAUUAGAUACCCUGGUAGUCCACGCCGUAAACGAUGUCUACUUGGAGGUUGUGCCCUUGAGGCGUGGCUUCCGGAGCUAACGCGUUAAGUAGACCGCCUGGGGAGUACGGCCGCAAGGUUAAAACUCAAAUGAAUUGACGGGGGCCCGCACAAGCGGUGGAGCAUGUGGUUUAAUUCGAUGCAACGCGAAGAACCUUACCUGGUCUUGACAUCCACGGAAGUUUUCAGAGAUGAGAAUGUGCCUUCGGGAACCGUGAGACAGGUGCUGCAUGGCUGUCGUCAGCUCGUGUUGUGAAAUGUUGGGUUAAGUCCCGCAACGAGCGCAACCCUUAUCCUUUGUUGCCAGCGGUCCGGCCGGGAACUCAAAGGAGACUGCCAGUGAUAAACUGGAGGAAGGUGGGGAUGACGUCAAGUCAUCAUGGCCCUUACGACCAGGGCUACACACGUGCUACAAUGGCGCAUACAAAGAGAAGCGACCUCGCGAGAGCAAGCGGACCUCAUAAAGUGCGUCGUAGUCCGGAUUGGAGUCUGCAACUCGACUCCAUGAAGUCGGAAUCGCUAGUAAUCGUGGAUCAGAAUGCCACGGUGAAUACGUUCCCGGGCCUUGUACACACCGCCCGUCACACCAUGGGAGUGGGUUGCAAAAGAAGUAGGUAGCUUAACCUUCGGGAGGGCGCUUACCACUUUGUGAUUCAUGACUGGGGUGAAGUCGUAACAAGGUAACCGUAGGGGAACCUGCGGUUGGAUCACCUCCUUACCUUAAAGAAGC